UACGGAGGGGGCGAGCGUUGUCCGAAGUUACUGGGCGUAAAGCGCGCGUAGGCGGGUUGGUAAGUCCGCUGUGAAAGCCCGGAGCUCAACUCCGGAGGGUCGGUGGAUACUGCCAGUCUUGAAGGUGCUAGGGGGAGAUGGAAUUACCGGUGUAGCGGUGAAAUGCGUAGAUAUCGGUAGGAACACCAGUGGCGAAGGCGGUCUCCUGGGGCAUUCUUGACGCUGAGGAGCGAAAGCGUGGGGGAGCAAACAGG
Molecule: ribosomal RNA, 254 nt
Filed under: uncultured bacterium
Lineage: Bacteria
Description: partial 16S ribosomal RNA
Rfam family: Bacterial small subunit ribosomal RNA
Source: RNAcentral